This 213-nucleotide ribosomal RNA is filed under the name uncultured Desulfovibrio sp. RNAcentral's name for it is "partial 16S ribosomal RNA". It matches the Rfam family "Bacterial small subunit ribosomal RNA", at positions 1168 to 1382 of the family's 1533-position model. The record is from RNAcentral. Lineage: Bacteria; Pseudomonadati; Thermodesulfobacteriota; Desulfovibrionia; Desulfovibrionales; Desulfovibrionaceae.
GGAAGUGGGAUGACGUCAAGUCCUCAUGGCCUUUAUGUCUAGGGCUACACACGUACUACAAUGGCCGGUACAAAGGGCAGCCACUCAGCGAUGAGGCGCUAAUCCCAUAAAGCCGGUCUCAGUCCGGAUCGCAGUCUGCAACUCGACUGCGUGAAGUUGGAAUCGCUAGUAAUCGUAGAUCAGCAUGCUACGGUGAAUACGUUCCCGGGCCUU